GGAGCGGUGGCUGAGUGGUUGAAAGCGCUCCCCUGCUAAGGGCGUAUACCUCAAAAGGGUAUCGAGGGUUCGAAUCCCUCCCGCUCCGCCA
Molecule: transfer RNA, 91 nt
Filed under: Roseibacillus sp.
Lineage: Bacteria; Pseudomonadati; Verrucomicrobiota; Verrucomicrobiia; Verrucomicrobiales; Verrucomicrobiaceae
Description: tRNA-Ser
Rfam family: tRNA
About the family: Transfer RNA (tRNA) molecules are approximately 80 nucleotides in length. Their secondary structure includes four short double-helical elements and three loops (D, anti-codon, and T loops).
Source: RNAcentral